CAUCGCACUUUUCAUAUGUUAAAAUGUAAUUAACAUUUUGCAAUUGAUGCUACAGCAGUUCUAAAGCAUUUACGUGGUAUGUCUUGUCAAAAACCGUAAGAAACUCUUGCUUAAGAUUUUCGUAUAAAUUAAUGAUUAAUGUGAUUUACAUUGUACAAAACGCAAAUUAUGUCACAAGAACGUGUUCGUAUCUCAGUGCCUAGUGUCCUCUUAUAUUAAUUAGACCGCGUGAUCGAAGCUGACCUCAUUUUUAUUCAGAUCAAUUGAAAAAGCGUGCAUGAAAUACAAGCACGGUAAUAUGGAAAGUAUAGAAAUACGGGGCAUUGACGUAUGUAAGGUGUAAGAUUGCCAGGGCACGGGCCGCAAAAUGUACAAUCUAGGGCUGGCGGUGGGGGCCUCCGCCGUCAACGCAAGCUUACGUUCUGCGCAGAAUGGAGGUGGCGCGAGGUACAAACUCCAGAAUUACGGGCUGCGAACGAACUACAGAAGCAACAACAAUCUCCUGUGUUUCACAGGCAUCUCUAUUUAAUAAUAGUGGCCCUUUUCAAGGCUUCAAAUUCAUUCUAGCUUUAUUUACACCAGAUGUGAUAACAAUGCGAUAAUAAAAUACCAUUUUCUAUUUUUCCCAGA
Non-coding RNA from Megalopta genalis, 630 nucleotides. NCBI's taxonomy places the organism in Eukaryota, Metazoa, Arthropoda, Insecta, Hymenoptera, Halictidae. The record is from RefSeq and is a predicted model, not a curated record.